This 472-nucleotide ribosomal RNA is filed under the name uncultured bacterium. RNAcentral's name for it is "SSU rRNA". It matches the Rfam family "Bacterial small subunit ribosomal RNA", at positions 26 to 518 of the family's 1533-position model. The record is from RNAcentral.
AGAAUGAACGUUGGCGGCGUGGAUUAGGCAUGCAAGUCGUACGGGCCGCAAGGCCAGUGGCGCAAGGGUGAGUAAGGCGACGGUAACCAACCCCACGGGUGGGUAUAGCCGCGGGAAACCGCGGGUAAUCCCCAGCGACGUGGCGUGCCGGCAUCGGCGUGCCACCAAAGCUCAGGCGCCGUGGGACGGGCCGUCGUGGUAUUAGCUUGUUGGCGGGGUAACGGCCCACCAAGGCGGCGAUGCCUACCGGGCGUGCGAGCGUGGCCCGGCACACUGGGACUGAGACACUGCCCAGACUCCUACGGGAGGCUGCAGUCGAGAAUCUUCGGCAAUGGGCGCAAGCCUGACCGAGCGACGCCGCGUGGAGGACGAAGGCCUUCGGGUUGUAAACUCCUGUCGAGGGGGAGAAGGGCUUAACCGCCUUGACUGAUCCCUGGAGGAGCGACGGGCUAAGUUCGUGCCAGCAGGCCGC